This 59-nucleotide transfer RNA is filed under the name Taphes sp. UPOL A00529. RNAcentral's name for it is "tRNA-Leu". Lineage: Eukaryota; Metazoa; Arthropoda; Insecta; Coleoptera; Lycidae. The record is from RNAcentral.
UGUGGCAGAAUAGUGCAAUAAACUUAAGAUUUAUUUAUAAAGUAAGCCUUUCUUUAGAA